Homarus americanus (American lobster) is the source of this 273-nucleotide long non-coding RNA. RefSeq lists it as uncharacterized. The record is from RefSeq and is a predicted model, not a curated record. The transcript is spliced from 3 exons. NCBI's taxonomy places the organism in Eukaryota, Metazoa, Arthropoda, Malacostraca, Decapoda, Nephropidae.
GCCAUAUCAAGAACAGUAUCCCUAUUAGGACUGUCUCUGAGGUUGAAGCUGCACUGGAGGUAUCAAGGAUGAUGAGCCUGGACAUAGUGGUGAUGGCGCUGACGCUCUUGUUACCAUGUCAAAAGGCUGCUGGCGCCUUACCUCCGUCUACAGAAGGAUGUGGAGAGUUACUUAAUCCCUACCAGGCAGCUUCAGUGGUACUUAAACCUACUUCAAAACCUCGCAACUCCAUCAUCCUCCUCACUGAUGACAAGAACGCCCACUUCUCUGAUU